RNAcentral lists this long non-coding RNA (256 nucleotides) under Hordeum vulgare. RNAcentral describes it as "long non-coding RNA (HVUL_LNC009187)". Lineage: Eukaryota; Viridiplantae; Streptophyta; Magnoliopsida; Poales; Poaceae. The record is from RNAcentral.
GUAUGUCUAGAGUGGGGGUGAUUAGACUACUUGAGAAGAUAAAAAUUUAGCCUUUUACCAAUUUUAGUUGAGGGGCAGUUUUGGCAGUUAUGGGAAGUCAAGUACACCCUACACAUGCAGUUCUAAGAGUGUAGUAGCAGAAUGUAAAACAUGCAAUUGUAAAUUAAAGGAGUAAGGUAGGGAGAUCAAACGCAUGAGGUUGACACGGCGAUAUUUGGCAUGGUUCUGAUAGGUGGCACUAUCGUACGUCCAUGUU